This 524-nucleotide ribosomal RNA is filed under the name uncultured bacterium. Its description in RNAcentral is "bacterial SSU rRNA". It matches the Rfam family "Bacterial small subunit ribosomal RNA", at positions 355 to 896 of the family's 1533-position model. The record is from RNAcentral.
UGGGGAAUAUUGGACAAUGGACCGCAAGUCUGAUCCAGCAAUUCUGNGUGCACGAUGACGUUUUUCGGAAUGUAAAGUGCUUUCAGUCGGGAAGAAGUCAGUGACGGUACCGACAGAAGAAGCGACGGCUAAAUACGUGCCAGCAGCCGCGGUAAUACGUAUGUCGCAAGCGUUAUCCGGAUUUAUUGGGCGUAAAGCGCGUCUAGGCGGCAAGGAAAGUCUGAUGUGAAAAUGCGGAGCUCAACUCCGUAUGGCGUUGGAAACUGCCUUACUAGAGUACUGGAGAGGUAGGCGGAACUACAAGUGUAGAGGUGAAAUUCGUAGAUAUUUGUAGGAAUGCCGAUGGGGAAGCCAGCCUACUGGACAGAUACUGACGCUAAAGCGCGAAAGCGUGGGUAGCAAACAGGAUUAGAUACCCUGGUAGUCCACGCUGUAAACGAUGAUUACUAGGUGUUGGGGGUCAAACCUCAGCGCCCAAGCUAACGCGAUAAGUAAUCCGCCUGGGGAGUACGUACGCACGUAUG